Molecule: long non-coding RNA, 288 nt
Filed under: Gallus gallus (chicken)
Lineage: Eukaryota; Metazoa; Chordata; Aves; Galliformes; Phasianidae
Source: RNAcentral
UUCAGAAAUCCUGUCUGACAGACAUACAGACACUUUGGAAAUAGGAAUUCCAGUUUGCACUGCUACAAAUAUACCCCAGAUGAAAAUACAGGACAGACUGGUGACUUGUUGGCAAUUUGGUGCCAACCAGGAUGCCAAGACUUCCACUGCUUCCAGCACUUCCAGCAACUCAAAGCUGCUUUGCAUUCAGUUCAUCCCCAGUCUGUACCAGUACAUGAAGUAACACUCCCAGGAAUGGGCUAGGAGUGCUCAAGAGACUGGGGAGAGGACACAGCUGGGACAGGUGAC